UAUUGUUCCUCCUCUUCCUUGUGGCAGGCGCAGCAGCACACUGCCCUCCAAAGCCUGCAAAAUAAUCGCCAGACUGCCCCUUUCCUAGCUCUGCAUGGAACAUCCAGUGUCAUGUCCUUGGUGACGUGUGGGGUGACCACAGCAUCAUCCUCUGGAAAGGGAAAAAAGGGGAACAGAUUGAAAACAAAUGCAAUCCGUAGCUUCUAAACACUGGCCAGUUGAAAGGUUCUACUAAGAUGUCAUGACAAACGGCACCUGUCAGAGUGCUCUCUAAGUGUUACUCACCUGCUUGGAUGUCAGCUGGCAGAGUGGCGGAGACGGCCAUCGUGAGAGUCCUUUCUUCAGGUGUGAGGUCCACAACCUCCAAGAGGGAAGAGAUGGGCUCUGCCUCUGUAUUAGGGGUGAUGUCCACCACAUUCAGGUUGGAAGAAGCAGGAUCUGCCUCUGUGUUAGUGGUGAUGUCUUGAACCUCCAGGUGGGAAGAACCCGGAUCUGUCUCUGUGUUAGUGGUGAUGUCCACAACCUCCAGGUGGGAAGAAGCCGGAUCUGCCUCUGUCUUAGGGGUGAUGUCCUCAACCUCCAGGUGGGAAGAAGCCGGAUCUGCCUCUGUCUUAGGGGUGAUGUCCUCAACCUCCAGGUGGGAAGAAGCCGGGUCUGUAUUGUGGGUGAAAACAACAAUCCUGAUGAGCUCUUCUACUACAAUCCGUCAUCAUGAAGUGCUUUGAGAGACUAGUCAAGGACCCGAUCACCUCCACCCUACCUGACACCCUAGACCCACUCCAAUUUGCUUACCGCCCAAAUAGGUCCACAGACGAUGCAAUCUCAACCACACUGCACACUGCCCUAACCCAUCUGGACCAGAGGAA
Molecule: long non-coding RNA, 866 nt
Organism: Oncorhynchus tshawytscha (Chinook salmon)
Lineage: Eukaryota; Metazoa; Chordata; Actinopteri; Salmoniformes; Salmonidae
Source: Ensembl